Molecule: ribosomal RNA, 356 nt
Filed under: uncultured bacterium
Lineage: Bacteria
Description: partial 16S ribosomal RNA
Rfam family: Bacterial small subunit ribosomal RNA
Source: RNAcentral
CCUACGGGUGGCAGCAGUAGGGAAUAUUGCUCAAUGGGGGAAACCCUGAAGCAGCAACGCCGCGUGGAGGAUGAAGGUUUUAGGAUUGUAAACUCCUUUUGUUAGAGAAGAUUAUGACGGUAUCUAACGAAUAAGCACCGGCUAACUCCGUGCCAGCAGCCGCGGUAAUACGGAGGGUGCAAGCGUUACUCGGAAUCACUGGGCGUAAAGAGUGCGUAGGCGGGGUAAUAAGUCAGAUGUGAAAUCCUGUAGCUUAACUACAGAACAGCAUUUGAAACUGUUACUCUGUAGUGUGGGAGAGAUAGAUGUAGUAUUUGUUGUAGGGGUAUAAUCCGCAUAGAGCAAGAGGAGUACUC